AAUACAGGAGUGUUUAUGGUUGGGUUGAGACACAUUCAGUAGCUGAGUGAUUGACAGCAAGAGGAGCAAGACAUGAGGUUAAUAAUUAUCAAAUAUAUGGCAAUGCUGGACUUUAGCUGAUCAUCGUGCUUCUGGAAAACAACAAAAAUUGAGAUAUCUGUUCACCACUUUGUGUGUCCAAGGACCACCUACUUUUUACAUGUGACAAGAACUACCCACCUCCACUCUUCAGGAUAGAACAUGCUGAAGAAAAGAGUUGCAAUGAGAAAAUAUAUGGGAACAAAAUACCUAUGCAAUGCAGAAGUCUGCAUAACUGAACCACUCAGAGGAAAAAGACAGUUUCCCUCCCAGGCUGGAGUACAAUGGCGCGACCUCGGCUCACUGCAACUUCCACCUCCCAGUUCAAGCAAUUCUCCCACCUCAGCUUCCUUAGUAGCUGGGAUUACAAGUGCCUGACACCAGGCCAAGCUAUUUUUGUAUUUUUAGUAGAGACGGGGUUUCACCAUUUUGACCAGGCUGGUCUCAAACUCCUGACCUCAGUCCAUCGGUCCACCUCGGCCUCCCAAAGUGCUGGGAUUGCAGGCAUGAGCCACCGCUCCUGGCCUCAAGUUUAAUUCUUAAGUGAGUCAAUCAGUUAUAGUUCUGUUCAAAGCUUUCAGUGCACCUAAAA
This 670-nucleotide long non-coding RNA is filed under the name Homo sapiens (human). RNAcentral describes it as "long intergenic non-protein coding RNA 1676". The record is from RNAcentral. Lineage: Eukaryota; Metazoa; Chordata; Mammalia; Primates; Hominidae.